This 580-nucleotide ribosomal RNA is filed under the name Stilpnonotus mexicanus. RNAcentral's name for it is "partial 12S ribosomal RNA". Lineage: Eukaryota; Metazoa; Arthropoda; Insecta; Coleoptera; Mycteridae. The record is from RNAcentral.
AUACAAAUUGUACUAGUUAAUUUUUUUAAUUUAGUUAGAUAAAAAUUGUUUAAUUUAAAAUUAAAUUUUUAAGGUGAAAUUUUAAAUUUGAAAAAUUUAAUGAUUUGUUUUUGAAGCUAGGAAAUUUUGGGUUAAACUAGGAUUAGAUACCCUAUUAUUCAAAUUGUGAUUUUAAAUUAAAAUUAUUAUAAGUUAUUGUCUUUAAAGUUAAAGAUUAUGGCGGUGUUUUAGUCUGUUCAGAGGAAUCUGUUUUUUAAUCGACAGUCCACGAUAAAUUUUACCUAAUUUUUUAAUUUGUAUAUCGCCGUGGUUUGGAUAUUUUAUAAGAAAACUAAUGUUCAUGUUUUUUAUUAAAAGAGAAUUCAGGUCAAGGUGCAGUUUAUGGUUAGGUUAAAAUGGGUUACAAUAAAUUUAUUUUCAGUUAAUUUUUUUAUAAAAUUUUAUAAGUUGGAUUUGAAAGUAAUUUUUUUAUUUUUUUAAAAUGAUUAAGCUCUAAAAUAUGCACAUAUCGCCCGUCGCUUUCAUUUUUAAAAUGAAAUAAGUCGUAACAAAGUAGGUUUAUUGGAAAAUGAACCUAGAA